RNAcentral lists this ribosomal RNA (2929 nucleotides) under Escherichia coli. RNAcentral's name for it is "bacterial LSU rRNA". It matches the Rfam family "Bacterial large subunit ribosomal RNA". Lineage: Bacteria; Pseudomonadati; Pseudomonadota; Gammaproteobacteria; Enterobacterales; Enterobacteriaceae. The record is from RNAcentral.
GGGUUGUGAGGUUAAGCGACUAAGCGUACACGGUGGAUGCCCUGGCAGUCAGAGGCGAUGAAGGACGUGCUAAUCUGCGAUAAGCGUCGGUAAGGUGAUAUGAACCGUUAUAACCGGCGAUUUCCGAAUGGGGAAACCCAGUGUGUUUCGACACACUAUCAUUAACUGAAUCCAUAGGUUAAUGAGGCGAACCGGGGGAACUGAAACAUCUAAGUACCCCGAGGAAAAGAAAUCAACCGAGAUUCCCCCAGUAGCGGCGAGCGAACGGGGAGCAGCCCAGAGCCUGAAUCAGUGUGUGUGUUAGUGGAAGCGUCUGGAAAGGCGCGCGAUACAGGGUGACAGCCCCGUACACAAAAAUGCACAUAUUGUGAGCUCGAUGAGUAGGGCGGGACACGUGGUAUCCUGUCUGAAUAUGGGGGGACCAUCCUCCAAGGCUAAAUACUCCUGACUGACCGAUAGUGAACCAGUACCGUGAGGGAAAGGCGAAAAGAACCCCGGCGAGGGGAGUGAAAAAGAACCUGAAACCGUGUACGUACAAGCAGUGGGAGCCUCUUUUAUGGGGUGACUGCGUACCUUUUGUAUAAUGGGUCAGCGACUUAUAUUCUGUAGCAAGGUUAACCGAAUAGGGGAGCCGAAGGGAAACCGAGUCUUAACUGGGCGUUAAGUUGCAGGGUAUAGACCCGAAACCCGGUGAUCUAGCCAUGGGCAGGUUGAAGGUUGGGUAACACUAACUGGAGGACCGAACCGACUAAUGUUGAAAAAUUAGCGGAUGACUUGUGGCUGGGGGUGAAAGGCCAAUCAAACCGGGAGAUAGCUGGUUCUCCCCGAAAGCUAUUUAGGUAGCGCCUCGUGAAUUCAUCUCCGGGGGUAGAGCACUGUUUCGGCAAGGGGGUCAUCCCGACUUACCAACCCGAUGCAAACUGCGAAUACCGGAGAAUGUUAUCACGGGAGACACACGGCGGGUGCUAACGUCCGUCGUGAAGAGGGAAACAACCCAGACCGCCAGCUAAGGUCCCAAAGUCAUGGUUAAGUGGGAAACGAUGUGGGAAGGCCCAGACAGCCAGGAUGUUGGCUUAGAAGCAGCCAUCAUUUAAAGAAAGCGUAAUAGCUCACUGGUCGAGUCGGCCUGCGCGGAAGAUGUAACGGGGCUAAACCAUGCACCGAAGCUGCGGCAGCGACACUAUGUGUUGUUGGGUAGGGGAGCGUUCUGUAAGCCUGUGAAGGUGUGCUGUGAGGCAUGCUGGAGGUAUCAGAAGUGCGAAUGCUGACAUAAGUAACGAUAAAGCGGGUGAAAAGCCCGCUCGCCGGAAGACCAAGGGUUCCUGUCCAACGUUAAUCGGGGCAGGGUGAGUCGACCCCUAAGGCGAGGCCGAAAGGCGUAGUCGAUGGGAAACAGGUUAAUAUUCCUGUACUUGGUGUUACUGCGAAGGGGGGACGGAGAAGGCUAUGUUGGCCGGGCGACGGUUGUCCCGGUUUAAGCGUGUAGGCUGGUUUUCCAGGCAAAUCCGGAAAAUCAAGGCUGAGGCGUGAUGACGAGGCACUACGGUGCUGAAGCAACAAAUGCCCUGCUUCCAGGAAAAGCCUCUAAGCAUCAGGUAACAUCAAAUCGUACCCCAAACCGACACAGGUGGUCAGGUAGAGAAUACCAAGGCGCUUGAGAGAACUCGGGUGAAGGAACUAGGCAAAAUGGUGCCGUAACUUCGGGAGAAGGCACGCUGAUAUGUAGGUGAAGUCCCUCGCGGAUGGAGCUGAAAUCAGUCGAAGAUACCAGCUGGCUGCAACUGUUUAUUAAAAACACAGCACUGUGCAAACACGAAAGUGGACGUAUACGGUGUGACGCCUGCCCGGUGCCGGAAGGUUAAUUGAUGGGGUUAGCGCAAGCGAAGCUCUUGAUCGAAGCCCCGGUAAACGGCGGCCGUAACUAUAACGGUCCUAAGGUAGCGAAAUUCCUUGUCGGGUAAGUUCCGACCUGCACGAAUGGCGUAAUGAUGGCCAGGCUGUCUCCACCCGAGACUCAGUGAAAUUGAACUCGCUGUGAAGAUGCAGUGUACCCGCGGCAAGACGGAAAGACCCCGUGAACCUUUACUAUAGCUUGACACUGAACAUUGAGCCUUGAUGUGUAGGAUAGGUGGGAGGCUUAGAAGUGUGGACGCCAGUCUGCAUGGAGCCGACCUUGAAAUACCACCCUUUAAUGUUUGAUGUUCUAACGUGGACCCGUGAUCCGGGUUGCGGACAGUGUCUGGUGGGUAGUUUGACUGGGGCGGUCUCCUCCUAAAGAGUAACGGAGGAGCACGAAGGUUGGCUAAUCCUGGUCGGACAUCAGGAGGUUAGUGCAAUGGCAUAAGCCAGCUUGACUGCGAGCGUGACGGCGCGAGCAGGUGCGAAAGCAGGUCAUAGUGAUCCGGUGGUUCUGAAUGGAAGGGCCAUCGCUCAACGGAUAAAAGGUACUCCGGGGAUAACAGGCUGAUACCGCCCAAGAGUUCAUAUCGACGGCGGUGUUUGGCACCUCGAUGUCGGCUCAUCACAUCCUGGGGCUGAAGUAGGUCCCAAGGGUAUGGCUGUUCGCCAUUUAAAGUGGUACGCGAGCUGGGUUUAGAACGUCGUGAGACAGUUCGGUCCCUAUCUGCCGUGGGCGCUGGAGAAUUGAGGGGGGCUGCUCCUAGUACGAGAGGACCGGAGUGGACGCAUCACUGGUGUUCGGGUUGUCAUGCCAAUGGCACUGCCCGGUAGCUAAAUGCGGAAGAGAUAAGUGCUGAAAGCAUCUAAGCACGAAACUUGCCCCGAGAUGAGUUCUCCCUGACCCUUUAAGGGUCCUGAAGGAACGUUGAAGACGACGACGUUGAUAGGCCGGGUGUGUAAGCGCAGCGAUGCGUUGAGCUAACCGGUACUAAUGAACCGUGAGGCUUAACCUUACAACGCCGAAGCUGUU